UACAGAGGGUGCGAGCGUUGUCCGGAAUCACUGGGCGUAAAGGGCGCGUAGGCGGCCCGGUAAGGUUGCGGUGAAAGCCCGGGGCUCAACCCCGGGUCGGCCGUGGCAACUGCUGGGCUGGAGCACAGUAGAGGCGGGUGGAAUUCCGGGUGUAGCGGUGGAAUGCGUAGAGAUCCGGAAGAACACCGGUGGCGAAGGCGGCCCGCUGGGCUGUUGCUGACGCUGAGGCGCGACAGCGUGGGGGAGCAAACAGG
This 254-nucleotide ribosomal RNA is filed under the name uncultured bacterium. Its description in RNAcentral is "partial 16S ribosomal RNA". It matches the Rfam family "Bacterial small subunit ribosomal RNA", at positions 524 to 776 of the family's 1533-position model. The record is from RNAcentral.